This 433-nucleotide ribosomal RNA is filed under the name uncultured bacterium. Its description in RNAcentral is "partial 16S ribosomal RNA". It matches the Rfam family "Bacterial small subunit ribosomal RNA", at positions 29 to 507 of the family's 1533-position model. The record is from RNAcentral.
AACGAACGCUGGCGGCAUGCCUAACACAUGCAAGUCGAACGAGACCUUCGGGUCUAGUGGCGCACGGGUGCGUAACGCGUGGGAACCUGCCCUUAGGUUCGGAAUAACUCCCCGAAAGGGGUGCUAAUACCGGAUAAUGUCUUCGGACCAAAGAUUUAUCGCCUUUGGAUGGGCCCGCGUUGGAUUAGCUAGUUGGUAGGGUAAAAGCCUACCAAGGCGACGAUCCAUAGCUGGUCUGAGAGGAUGAUCAGCCAUACUGGGACUGAGACACGGCCCAGACUCCUACGGGAGGCAGCAGUGGAGAAUAUUGGACAAUGGGCGAAAGCCUGAUCCAGCAAUGCCGCGUGAGUGAUGAAGGCCUUAGGGUUGUAAAGCUCUUUUACCCGGGAUGAUAAUGACAGUACCGGGAGAAUAAGCUCCGGCUAACUCCGUG